Molecule: ribosomal RNA, 380 nt
Filed under: uncultured eukaryote
Lineage: Eukaryota
Description: partial 18S ribosomal RNA
Rfam family: Eukaryotic small subunit ribosomal RNA
Source: RNAcentral
CAAUAGCGUAUAUUAAAGUCGUUGCAGUUAAAAAGCUCGUAGUUGGAUUUGUGGCGUACGGUGUGUUCCGGGCACUUGUUGUCUGAGUAACCUGCUGUUGCCAUCCAUGGGUGGAACCUGUGUGGCAUUAGGUUGUCGUGCAGGGGAUGCCCAUCAUUUACUGUGAAAAAAUUAGAGUGUUCAAAGCAGGCUUAUGCCGUUGAAUAUAUUAGCAUGGAAUAAUGAGAUAGGACUUUUUUGCUAUUUUGUUGGUUUGCGCAAAGAGGUAAUGAUUAAUAGGGACAGUUGGGGGUAUUCGUAUUCCAUUGUCAGAGGUGAAAUUCUUGGAUUUCUGGAAGACGAACUACUGCGAAAGCAUUUACCAAGGAUGUUUUCAUUAA